UGCACGACUCCCGGCAAUGGAUAUCUUGGCUCUCGCAUCGAUGAAGGACGUAAGCGAAAUGCGAUACUUGGUGUGAAUUGCAGAAUCUCGUGAACCAUCGAGUCUUUGAACGCAAGUUGCGCCCGAGGUUAUCUGGCCAAGGGCACGCCUGCCUGGGCAUCACGCCUGGUGACGCUUCGUGCC
This 183-nucleotide ribosomal RNA is filed under the name Crinum asiaticum var. pedunculatum. RNAcentral describes it as "5.8S ribosomal RNA". The stretch from base 6 to 162 matches the Rfam family "5.8S ribosomal RNA". Rfam says of the family: 5.8S ribosomal RNA (5.8S rRNA) is a component of the large subunit of the eukaryotic ribosome. The record is from RNAcentral. Lineage: Eukaryota; Viridiplantae; Streptophyta; Magnoliopsida; Asparagales; Amaryllidaceae.